GUUUCAGCCGCCGCGGUAAUACGAACCGUCCAAACGUUAUUCGGAUUCAUUGGGCUUAAAGGGUACGUAGGCGGCGCUUCAAGUCGGGUGUGAAAUCCCUCGGCUCAACCGAGGAACUGCGCCCGAUACUGGAGUGCUUGAGGGAGACAGAGGUAAGCGGAACUGAUGGUGGAGCGGUGAAAUGCGUUGAUAUCAUCAGGAACACCAGUGGCGAAAGCGGCUUACUGGGUCUCUUCUGACGCUGAGGUACGAAAGCUAGGGGAGCGAACGGGAUUAGAAACCCGUGUAGUCC
Molecule: ribosomal RNA, 292 nt
Filed under: uncultured bacterium
Lineage: Bacteria
Description: partial 16S ribosomal RNA
Rfam family: Bacterial small subunit ribosomal RNA
Source: RNAcentral